RNAcentral lists this ribosomal RNA (250 nucleotides) under uncultured bacterium. RNAcentral's name for it is "partial 16S ribosomal RNA". It matches the Rfam family "Bacterial small subunit ribosomal RNA", at positions 524 to 773 of the family's 1533-position model. The record is from RNAcentral.
UACGUAGGGGGCAAGCGUUGUCCGGAUUCAUUGGGCGUAAAGCGCGCGCAGGCGGUUGGCAGAGCCCGGCGUGAAAGCUCCCGGCUUAACCGGGAGAGGUCGUCGGGGACCUGUUGACUGGAGGCCGGUAGGGGAGAGCGGAAUUCCCGGUGUAGUGGUGGAAUGCGUAGAGAUCGGGAGGAACACCAGUGGCGAAGGCGGCUCUCUGGACCGGUCCUGACGCUCAGGCGCGAAAGCGUGGGGAGCGAUC